RNAcentral lists this ribosomal RNA (497 nucleotides) under uncultured bacterium. Its description in RNAcentral is "partial 16S ribosomal RNA". It matches the Rfam family "Bacterial small subunit ribosomal RNA", at positions 28 to 507 of the family's 1533-position model. The record is from RNAcentral.
GAUGAACGCUGGCGGCGUGCCUAAUACAUGCAAGUCGAGCGAACAGACGAGGAGCUUGCUCCUCCGACGUUAGCGGCGGACGGGUGAGUAACACGUGGAUAACCUACCUAUAAGACUGGGAUAACUUCGGGAAACCGGAGCUAAUACCGGAUAAUAUAUUGAACCGCAUGGUUCAAUAGUGAAAGACGGCUUUGCUGUCACUUAUAGAUGGAUCCGCGCCGCAUUAGCUAGUUGGUAAGGUAACGGCUUACCAAGGCAACGAUGCGUAGCCGACCUGAGAGGGGGAACGGCCACACCGGAACUGAGGCACGGUCCAGAACUCUAAGGGAGGGCGCAGUAGGGAAUCUUUCGCAAAUGGGCGAAGCUUGGCGGGGGAACGGCGCGUUGGGGAAGAAAGUCUUUCGAUCGGAAAACCCUGGUAUUAGGGAAAAACAAAUGUGGAAGGAACUAUGCACGGCUUGACGGGACCUAAACAAAAAGCCACGGCUAACUACGUG